UAGGGAAUCUUCGGCAAUGGACGAAAGUCUGACCGAGCAACGCCGCGUGAGUUAAGAAGGUUUUCGGAUCGUAAAACUCUGUUGUUAGAGAAGAACAAGGACGUUAGUAACUGAACGUCCCCUGCCGGUAUCUAACCAGAAAGCCACGGCUAACUACGUGCCAGCAGCCGCGGUAAUACGUAGGUGGCAAGCGUUGUCCGGAUUUAUUGGGCGUAAAGCGAGCGCAGGCGGUUUCUUAAGUCUGAUGUGAAAGCCCCCGGAUCAACCGGGGAGGGUCAUUGGAAACUGGGAGACUUGAGUGCAGAAGAGGAGAGUGGAAUUCCAUGUGUAGAGGUGAAAUGCGUAGAUAUAUGGAGGAACACCAGUGGAGAAGGCGGCUCUCUGGUCUGUAACUGACGAUGAGGCUCGAAAGCGGGGGGAGCAAACAGG
Molecule: ribosomal RNA, 429 nt
Filed under: Gemmatimonadota bacterium
Lineage: Bacteria; Pseudomonadati; Gemmatimonadota
Description: Gemmatimonadetes bacterium partial 16S ribosomal RNA
Rfam family: Bacterial small subunit ribosomal RNA
Source: RNAcentral